Long non-coding RNA from Malaclemys terrapin pileata, 2428 nucleotides. RefSeq lists it as uncharacterized. Lineage: Eukaryota; Metazoa; Chordata; Testudines; Emydidae. The record is from RefSeq and is a predicted model, not a curated record. The transcript has 3 exons.
GGAAGACUUCGUAUGUGUAUUGGAGCAUUCCAAGAUGCAUUGUUCCCCAAGUGCUUCCUGAUCAGCUUUUCACUUCCAGCUCAAGUAUUAGGAGCAAGUUUGAGUCUGUACCACCAAAUUCAUAUCCAGGUCUGGUCUGUGAACUCCCACAGAUGGUGGACUUCACCAAGUUCUUCAUUCAAGAAAAUGCGACUCUCCAAACUUUGGCUUCUUCAUUUUCCUCUAUGAUUCUGCAACAAGGAGAUGGGGAGGAGCGUGCCUGGAGAGGUGUGAGCUCAACUCUAUGUGCUGGAGAAGCAGCUUCUCUUUCUCUGUGACCCUCCUGUUGGAGUUCUCCCCGCCUCCUGCUGACGGUCUGUCACUGGCAUGACAAGGUAGCACAUCUUGUUUGAAUCCCGGAACCUUUGGCUGGGUCCCUCACCUUCCCAGCUCCAGGAUAUAUAAACUAAUGGGGUGUGAUGACCAUAUUUGAUUGGUCUACAUAUUAAAAUUGGGCUUCCCUUUGGAAAAAAGAUGCUAGGGCCUAGAGUCUUGCAUCUAACUCCUAGCUCUGCUGUAAGCUUUGCUCUGCCACGGGAGUAUCAGUCACAGUGAAGAUAGCAGAGUGCAUGCAGCACAACGUGAACAGCAACACUUGGUUUUGUUCUGGCUUAAAAUAAAGGCUGGAGAUGUGCUCCAAGUCUCAGUAUUUAGACUGGGAUUUUGAACCACCACAAACCUUGGGAGUUUUUGCACCUAUGUGCUUGAUUCAGGCUUCUCUGUAAUAGAGACUCGAUAGCUGUCUAGAUCAAUUUCUUCAAUCUUUUUAGGGUAGUGACCCUUUAUUCUAAGUCAAAACCAUUUUGUGACACCCCCUUACAUUUACUGUAAAAGAAUAAAAAAUACAUCAAUGAUAACAAUAAGCCUAGAUAAUAUAUUUGUGUGGGUGUUUUGAGAUGCUGACAGAGGCUAAUUGACCUUGAAGGACAAGGGUGUGUGGGGAGUGGGGAAGCAAGAUCAUCUUUGCUUUAGAUUGUAAUAACAUUUUCAAUGCCUCAGACUCCCCACUCCCACCCUCAAUUUCCUUUUGUGACCAAUUGAGAAACACUGGUCUAGAUGGUUGCCAAAUAGCCUGCAAUGCAGCCAGUGCCUUAGUGGAGAAUGAGAAGAAUGAUCUCCCAUUUACAAUCAUUUCUUUUCCCUGUAAUAAUACACACACUAGAAACAAACCCAGUCGACAAGGUGGUAUCUGAUGAUUUAAAAACUUUGAUUCACAAGUAUUUAGGCUUUGUCUCUGCUUAGAUGCCAGAGGACAGAAAAUGCAAUACUCCUUUUCUUAGCAGAACAUUUCUGAUUCGUCUGUUUAGUAUCUUUAUUUCCCUUCUCAUGAAGUCGGCAGAAAGUAAGUCUGUCAGCAAUUCAUGACUGCUUCCCUUCUCAUCGCCUAGCCCCUGAUCACCAGAAAGACAUUAGUGCAAUUUAUGAUUCAUGCCUUGCCUUGCCAGAACAAUAUGCAAUCUGAUUACAUCUGGAGACUCUGAAGAAGUGGUGGGUGUUAAUGCAUUGACUUGUAAUUUGUGUUCAGUCCAGAGAUUCCCACCCCAACAAAACUCUAUGGUGAAGUGCUACCACAAGUCCCCAGAUGGAUUUCCAGAAGGAGCUCUCCACUGAAACCAUAGCCACCGAGUUACCUUCUUCUAGUCACUGCAGAGAAGAAAUGCAUGUUUCCUAUGCACUAGCAAGCUUUAUUAGGCUAUGAUGGGUCAGCAAUGUACAGCACACCUGCCAAGGUGGCACGCAAGCCGAUUUUUGAUGGCACAUGGUGCCAGGCUGAGCGGCUCAGCCUGCUGCCACUCUGGGGUUUCCACCGCUGGUCCCACUCAGCGCCUGCUGCUGGCCUGGGUGAAGGAACCCCAGGCUGGCAGAAGCCAGCGGCUGAAACCCCAGAGCGGGGGCGGCUGAGCCACUCAGCCCGCCGCCACUCAGGGGUUCCCGCUGCUGGCCCCUUCCCAGCUGGGGUCCCGCUGCCGGCCCCACUCAGCGCCUGCUGCUGGCCUGGGUGAAGGAACCCCAGGCUGGCAGCGGGUUGAGACCCCGGCUGGCAGGAGCCGGCGGCCGGAACUCCAGAGCGGCGGUGGGCUGAGCCGCUCAGUCACUGCUCUGGAGUUCUGGCUGCUGGCCCCUUGCCAGCCGGGGUCCCUGCCACAGCCCCACUCACCUUGCUUCCAGUUGGAGUUCCAACGCAGGCCCCCUGCCAGACAGGGUCCAAGCCUCUGGCCCUGCUCUGCCCUACCAGCUGCCAGCUCCGCUCACCUCAGCUGCCGAUCUGGGGUUCCAGCCGCUGACCUCCUGCCAGCCAGUUAACAACUGAUCACUCAGAAGCCUGUGUGCAGCUUAAAAUAUCCAAAUAUAUGCCAGACAUUGGAAAACUCAGCAAGGAAAAGCAAGG